Molecule: microRNA precursor, 205 nt
Organism: Oryza sativa Indica Group (long-grained rice)
Lineage: Eukaryota; Viridiplantae; Streptophyta; Magnoliopsida; Poales; Poaceae
Rfam family: MIR812 microRNA precursor family
Source: Rfam
AAACAGACAAACCCUGGGUUUCCGAGUCCAACAUUUAACCAUCCAUCUUAUUUGAAAAAAUUAUGAAAAAAAUUAAAAAAGACAAGUCAUGCAUAAAAUAUUAAUCAUGUUUUAUCAUCUAACAACAAUGAAAAUACUAAUUAUAAAAAAAUUAUAUAAGACGGAUAGUCAAACGUUGUACACGGAAAUCAGGGUUUGUCUUUUU